AUGAAUGUAUAUUUUAGAAGAUAGUGUCUUCGUGAUGUGUGAACUAAUAAAAUUAUAAAAAUUGAAUUGAAUACUAGCGAUGAAGAAGCGUUUUUCCAACAUGGAUUACCAGUCGGCAGUAGUAAGUCCAAACAUUUUAAAUGGUGGGAUAUAAUCAAAAUACACUACUCCAAUUCUUUAAGUAAUCAGAUAUAUUUCGAGUAUGUUUACUAUAUUAUAAUCAAAGGUGAUUAUGACAACCAAUCAGUUUAAUUUAAACCGUUUACAUAAAUGUCAAUUACUUAUCUAAAUUGUAAACAUUAAACUAGCGUAGUGUACUAUAUAAUAAAAUAACUAUUUGUAACGUUGCAAGUGAUUUGUUACGAGUCAUAAAUUAAUUAAAAAUAAAGUUAUUUUAAAUUUUAAAAUAUAGACAUUUUUUGAUUAUUGAUGAUUUCACUCGAUUCUUGUUUUUUCUUUUAUAAUGAAUAUUCGAGAAUACAGCAAACUUGAAUAUUACAAUACAUCAAAUAUCACUGGUGUUCACAUUUGUGUUAUAAUUUUAGAUAUUUACAUUAUUAACCUUUUGCUGAAUUAAUUACAAUAGAAUUUUUAAUUUAAUUAUUAGAUGAGACAUUUUUUUGAACAAUGGUUUUAUUUAAAAAAAAUUU
Molecule: long non-coding RNA, 650 nt
Organism: Daktulosphaira vitifoliae (grape phylloxera)
Lineage: Eukaryota; Metazoa; Arthropoda; Insecta; Hemiptera; Phylloxeridae
Exons: 3
Source: RefSeq, a predicted model, not a curated record